Molecule: ribosomal RNA, 896 nt
Filed under: Desmophyllum pertusum
Lineage: Eukaryota; Metazoa; Cnidaria; Anthozoa; Scleractinia; Caryophylliidae
Description: eukaryotic LSU rRNA
Rfam family: Eukaryotic large subunit ribosomal RNA (bases 670-896)
Source: RNAcentral
UACCCUUUGUACACACCGCCCUGUCGCUACUACCGAUUGAAUGGUUUAGUGAGGCCUUCUGACUGGCGCCGAUACUCUGGCAACAGAGCGCCGGAUGCCGGAAAGUUGGUCAAACUUGAUCAUUUAGAGGAAGUAAAAGUCGUAACAAGGUUUCCGUAGGUGAACCUGCGGAAGGAUCAUUACCGAUGAUAUUCGUCCAACAACUACACAGUUGUACCUUGUGAACCGUACCAAACUAUUCAGGGGUCGGCUUGUCCGUUAAAUGGUCGUCGGACGCGAGAGAUCGCGGCCGCUCGACCGGCCCCGCACGCGUUUUGUUUUUUAUAAACAUAUGUGUACCUGUCUGACCAAGCGUUGCGGCCGGCCCAAGGGUCGGUCGCGGCAAUUAGAGCAAAAAACGAGAUACAACUUUUGACGGUGGAUCUCUUGGCUCACGAUCGAUGAAGAACGCAGCCAUGAGUGUCGGAUAUCAUCCAACGCACGCCAGCGUGCGGAAUUGAGGCGUCACGGUCCGUACUGCACGGACCGUGUCCUUGAAAGUCAGAGAGACUCGCCGCGUCGCGGGAAGAUUCCCCGUGCACACCAGCGGAGGCUAAAAUGUCUUUUGCCCUUCGCGUGCCGGGAAGUCGCCGCGUGCGGCGGUCGUCGUCGGGCGAACUUUAAUUAUCUUGACCUCAGAUCAGGCAAGGCUACCCGCUGAAUUUAAGCAUAUUAAUAAGCGGAGGAAAAGAAACUAACAAGGAUUCCCUCAGUAACGGCGAGUGAAGCGGGACCAGCUCAAAUUUGAAAUCUCCGAUGCCUGCAUCGGCGAGUUGUAGUUGCGAGAAGCACUUUCUAGGUGGAUCGGUCGUGCCUAAGUUGCUUGGAACAGCACGUCGCAGAGGGUGACAACCCCG